GAUGAACGCUGGCGGCGUGCUUAACACAUGCAAGUCGAACGAAGCAUUUGCGACAGAUUUUUUCGGAAUGAAGUUGCUUAUGACUGAGUGGCGGACGGGUGAGUAACGCGUGGGUAACCUGCCUUGUACUGGGGGAUAGCAGCUGGAAACGGCUGGUAAUACCGCAUAAGCGCACAAUGUUGCAUGACAUGGUGUGAAAAACUCCGGUGGUAUAAGAUGGACCCGCGUCUGAUUAGCUAGUUGGUGAGAUAACAGCCCACCAAGGCGACGAUCAGUAGCCGACCAGAGAGGGAGACCGGCCACACUGGGACUGAGACACGGCCCAGACUCCUACGGGAGGCAGCAGUGGGGAAUAUAGCACAAUGGAGGAAACUCUGAUGCAGCGACGCCGCGAGAGUGAAGAAGUAAUGCGUUAUGUAAAGCUCUAUCAGCAGGGAAGAUAGUGACGGUACCUGACUAAGAAGCUCCGGCUAAAUACGUG
Molecule: ribosomal RNA, 481 nt
Filed under: uncultured bacterium
Lineage: Bacteria
Description: partial 16S ribosomal RNA
Rfam family: Bacterial small subunit ribosomal RNA
Source: RNAcentral